Molecule: long non-coding RNA, 4072 nt
Organism: Anolis carolinensis (green anole)
Lineage: Eukaryota; Metazoa; Chordata; Lepidosauria; Squamata; Anolidae
Exons: 2
Source: RefSeq, a predicted model, not a curated record
UAUAUAAAGAUGGCCAAAGCGACCCUCGCCAGUGGAGAAGGUCCAAGGAUUGGGAAGACCCUCGCCGUCAAAGCCGCCAUGCCGUUCUCGGCCACUUCCCUCGCUGUUCUUCUCCUGAUCUGGUCUGUGAUCACUGUAGAAGAGACCUGGGCUGAGGACACUUCGGAGCCGGAGGAGCCGUCCAUGGAAGACCCGCUGUCCAACCCUGGGGAGGUUGAAAGAGCCUUGAAGGAGCCGACACCGUUGAUUUGCAAGAAGUACUUCCAGGAGUCUUGGACAGAUUGCUGAGGUCUACCGAGGCAGUCUUCUCCUCUGGAUGAUGGGAUUGCAAACCACCACAGGAGCAUCGUGGACUGGGACACCGGCUCUCGGGCGCCUCUCUGUGACUUAUAAGAAGCAUCGUUGGAGCCAAAACAACAUGAAACUUGCGUUGCUUUUGUUUACUGAUUUACUAGCAUAUAUACCAUGCGUUGCCUGGACAGUGUUGGAACCACUGCUUCCCUACUCUCUUCCUUCUCCAGCUAUAAGAAGGCCUACUUUCUCCCAUCUUUCGCUCUGAGUAGGCCUACUUUGUCCAUUCUCCAGCUCUGAGUAGGCCUACUUUGUACCCUUAUCCAGCUCUGAGUGGGCUUACUUUGUCCCUUCUCCAGCUCUAAGUAGGCUUACUUUGUCCCUUCUCCAGCUCUGAGUAGGCCUACUUUGUCCCUUCUCCAGCUCUGAGGCCUACUUCCUCCCUUCUCCAGCUCUGAGAAUGUCUACUUCCUCCCUUCUCCAGCUCUGAGUAGGCCUACUUUGUCCCUUCUCCAGCUCUGAGUAGGCCUACUUCCUCCCUUCUCCAGCUCUGAGAAUGUCUACUUCCUCCCUUCUCCAGCUCUGAGUAGGCCUACUUUCUCCCUUCUCCAGCUCUGAGAAGGCCUACUUUUUCCUUUCUCCAUCUCUGAGAAGGUGAUCUACUCUCCCUUCUCCAGCCCUGAGAAGAAGGCCUACUUUCUCCCUUCUCCAUCUAUGAGAAAAAUACCUACUUUCUCCCUUCUCCAGCUCUGAGAAGGGAGAAAGCCACGUCCUCCAUGGCAAUGCUAUAUAUGUCGAGCAGGCUCUCUUUGCGGCUCUUUCCUUCUUUUCUUCCCCUCAUGACCCCAUUCUUUCCCAUCACGGAAGGCCACUUCACCUAGCAACAGGCAAUCCAGUGACAUCGCAGAGGGCCACUUUACCUAGCAACAAUCUUUGUGGUACAGAUAAACAUACACGAUAUAUAUAUAUAUAUAUAUAUAUAUAUAUAUAUAUGAAUGACUGUGUUCCAUGUUUAGUCCAUUUGCUAAUCAAAACAUCGUGAAAUCCAGACAAAUGGUAUCCAGAGCAUUCUUACCAUUCCCAUUCCCAGAGCGUUCACAAUCAAGGCACCACCAACAGAUGGUCACACAGCCUUUGUAAUAAUCAUAAUAAUAGUAAUAAUAAUAAUAGUAAUAAUAAUAGGAGAAACCACAAGGAUCAUCCAGUUCAAUGCUAAUGCUGGUCAUCAUCCUUGGCUGACUGAGGGUCAAGGCAGGUCAGUUCUUCCAGGGACGACUAUUACUACUACUACUACGAUUACUACUACUACUCAAUGCUGAUGCUGGUCUGGAUCACAUCAUCCUUGGCUGACUGAGGGUCAAGGCAGGUCAGUUCUUCCAGGGACGACUAUAACUACUACGAUUACUACCACUACUACUACUACUACUAAUCAAUGCUGAUGCUGGUCUGGACCACAUCAUCCUUGGCUGACUGAGGGUCAAGGCAGGUCAGUUCUUCCAGGGACUACUAUUACUACUACUGUACUACUACUAUGGGAAGGACUGAUGGAUCAAACACAUAGUAGAGACAUGAAGUGAGGCAUAACUUGGACUCCCAACAAUAUAACUUGAAGCCUGUGACAACAAGUUGGGUGCAAUUCUAUGAAGGUCAAUUCGGACCUGACUCGACCCUAUUGAGAACGACCUCCAUGGUCUGGAAUAAAACCUAUUUAUUAUGAUAUGUAUCCCCACAACCUCUGAGGAUGCCUGCCAUAGAUGUGGGCGAAAUAUCAGGAGAGAAUGCUUCUGGAACAUGGCCAGACAGCCCGGAAAACUCAUAGCAAACCCAGUUCUUUAUUAUACAUAACAAUGUAUUUACCAUUGCAAUUCUAACUGUAGCCACUAGAGGGCAGCGUUGCACUUCAAUGUCUGGUCUAGAGUCCUAGAGAUCUCAAUUUGUAGACCACGGUGCCACCUGGUGGCAAUUCAGCCUCACUGCAUAUGGAACUUAAAGAAUAACUAGAUGGAAUAAUGAAUAUAAAUACAGUAGAGUCUCACUUAUCCAAAGUUCUGGAUUAUCCAACGCGUUUUUGUAGUCAAUCAUUUCAAAUCAUCAUAUUUUGGUGCUAAAUUCGUAAAUACAAUAAUUACUACAUAGCAUUACUGCAUAUUGAACUACUUUUCUGUCAAAUUUGUUGUAUAACCUGAUGUUUUGGUGCUUUAUUUGUAAAAUCAUAACCUAAUUUGAUGUUUAAUAGGCUUUUCCUUAUUAUCCAACAUAUUCACUUAUCCAGCGUUCUGCCAGCCUGUUUAUGUUGGAUAAGUGAGACUCUACUGUAUAUGUAUAAUAGUGAAUAUAAAUAUAAUCAUUGUAUUUCAUAUAUUACAUGUAAUAUUACUAAUAAUAUUGCAGUAUAGUGGUAUAAUACAAUAUAGUAAUAUAUAACGCUAAUAUUGUUCUAUGCUAAUUAUAUAAUAUAAUGUAUGUACAUAUAACUUGUAAGCCGCUCUGAGCCCCCUUCGGAGUGAGAGAGGGCGGGGUAUAAAUGUAGUAAAUAAAUUAAUAAAUAAUACGAUUAUAUAGAAUGUAUAAUGGUGCAGUGAGUUAGUAGCCAGCUGCAAUAAAUCACUACUGACCGAGAGGUCAUGAGAUCGAAGCUUGGGUCGGAUUGAGCUCCUGACCAUAUAAUAGCCUAGCUUGUUGUUGAACUAAGCAGCCCAAAAGAGAGUUGCAUCUAUCAAGUAGGGAAAUUUAGGUACCGCAUUAUGCGGGGAGGCUAAUUUUACUAAUUUACGACACCAUAAAAAUAAUGCUAAGACUUUGCCAUCUGCGCAGGGUUCCACAACACAACCGUUCAAUGCUAAGGCUUCCCGCCAAAUGAAACUAACUGUAGUCUACUGAACAAGUCAGGACCUGCUGCAGACCAGGAAUGAGUUACGAAGGUGGAGGCAUUACUUUUCAUUCAACUCUCAUAGUAUUAUUAUUAUUAUUAUUAUUAUUAUUAUUAUUAUUAUGCAGUCGCCGGCGAUGCCAAAACUACCAGAUAUACCCUUUGUUUCCAAUUUAACCUUAGGCCAAAGCAAAGGGAGAAAGGAACACACAAAAGACAACAAUGAAGGCGAGAGACGGUUGUGAUGCUGAGGUCUAUAUGUAUUUCUCCAAUUCCAGUGUAACAGGAUGGAUGGACCACGAUAGUGUCUUAUUUAAAUGAUAAAUCGGAACACAAGUCCUUGACCUGUAAAGCAAUUGAACCGCGGAGUGCUUGGACUCCGACACCCCUCGUCCUGAGGCAACACGGUCAGGUAUGCUGGAGAUUGUAGUCCAACGGGAUAUAAAAUAAUCUCAGAUAUAUUGCUAAAGACGGAGAGGGCGGAAACAUGUUGACGAAUCUUUCCCUUCCGUAUUAUUUCCCAUGAUAGAUUCAGAUAUGAUUGGGAUUUUGGGAGUGAAUGAUAUUCAGUGCUUCCUUUGCAAUACGACAGGCAAAACUCGCAAAAAUAAGAUUUACAACAAAAUUAGGAUCUGAAUGUAAACCACUGGAAACACUUGACCUCCUUGGAUGCGUUUCAGGCAUAUCCGUCCUCCGAAUACUACAAAAUACAUAUUGGGGAGAUAUCUGUCUAAGCUCCAAAUUUACAUUCCUCUUUUUUUCCUCUCUCACCCUGUAACAGAACAAAAAAAAUGAUAUUUUUCUUACGUAUUUAAAGCUAAGUACAAUUCUCCGCAGACGAGAAUUUCUGUUGUUUGUUUUGUGCGGAAAAUCGAAAAAUUCAUGACUUCGAGGGUAUUAAACGCAGGCACA